Molecule: ribosomal RNA, 484 nt
Filed under: uncultured bacterium
Lineage: Bacteria
Description: partial 16S ribosomal RNA
Rfam family: Bacterial small subunit ribosomal RNA
Source: RNAcentral
AUUGAACGCUGGCGGCAGGCCUAACACAUGCAAGUCGAGCGGAUGAAGGGAGCUUGCUCCUGGAUUCAGCGGCGGACGGGUGAGUAAUGCCUAGGAAUCUGCCUGGUAGUGGGGGAUAACGUCCGGAAACGGGCGCUAAUACCGCAUACGUCCUGAGGGAGAAAGUGGGGGAUCUUCGGACCUCACGCUAUCAGAUGAGCCUAGGUCGGAUUAGCUAGUUGGUGGGGUAAAGGCCUACCGAGGCGACGAUCCGUAACUGGUCUGAGAGGAUGAUCAGUCACACUGGAACUGAGACACGGUCCAGACUCCUACGGGAGGCAGCAGUGGGGAAUAUUGGACAAUGGGCGAAAGCCUGAUCCAGCCAUGCCGCGUGUGUGAAGAAGGUCUUCGGAUUGGAAAGCACUUUAAGUUGGGAGGAAGGGCAGUAAGUUAAUACCUUGCUGUUUUGACGUUACCAACAGAAUAAGCACCGGCUAACUUCGUG